Molecule: ribosomal RNA, 182 nt
Filed under: uncultured bacterium
Lineage: Bacteria
Description: partial 16S ribosomal RNA
Rfam family: Bacterial small subunit ribosomal RNA
Source: RNAcentral
ACACGAAGCUGGAAUCGCUAGUAAUCGCGAAUCAGAAUGUCGCGGUGAGUACGUUCCCGGGUCUUGUACACACCGCCCGUCACACCAUGGGAGUCGGGAAUGCCCGAAGUCAGUGACCCAACCUUUGGAGGGAGCUGCCGAAGGCAGGUCUGAUAACUGGGGUGAAGUCGUAACAAGGUAGC